UUAACGAAUCCCUCAGCUAACAACCCGAAACACCCCACUUCUUUCGAACAAACCACAACACAGCAAGCUACGCUUAGGAUCUUCUUACACAAGUCCUUUGAAGUCACGAAAGAUAUAUAACCCUCUUUAUUAGGGAUCAACCACUUUGGCAUCUCUCCUCCAGGUAGAAUAAUUUGGUAUUUGCUGUGAUGAAAAUUCUGUCACAGAUGUAGACUGUUAGAUAGUUUUUUCUUGAAAUUGGCACCCAAAAA
Long non-coding RNA from Syzygium oleosum, 251 nucleotides. RefSeq lists it as uncharacterized. The transcript is spliced from 2 exons. Lineage: Eukaryota; Viridiplantae; Streptophyta; Magnoliopsida; Myrtales; Myrtaceae. The record is from RefSeq and is a predicted model, not a curated record.